RNAcentral lists this ribosomal RNA (376 nucleotides) under uncultured bacterium. RNAcentral's name for it is "bacterial SSU rRNA". It matches the Rfam family "Bacterial small subunit ribosomal RNA", at positions 523 to 898 of the family's 1533-position model. The record is from RNAcentral.
AUACGGAGGGUGCAAGCGUUGUUCGGAAUUACUGGGCGUAAAGGGCGCGUAGGCGGUAAUGUAAGUCAGAUGUGAAAUCCUUCGGCUUAACCGGAGAACUGCAUCUGAAACUGCAUAACUAGAGUACAGAAGAGGGAAACGGAAUUCCCGGUGUAGAGGUGAAAUUCGUAGAUAUCGGGAGGAACACCAGUGGCGAAGGCGGUUUCCUGGUCUGAUACUGACGCUGAGGCGCGAAAGCGUGGGGAGCAAACAGGAUUAGAUACCCUGGUAGUCCACGCUGUAAACGGUGAGUACUGGGUGUGGGAGGUGUAAUACCUUCCGUGCCGUAGUUAACGCGAUAAGUACUCCGCCUGGGAAGUACGGCCGCAAGGUUGAA